RNAcentral lists this ribosomal RNA (486 nucleotides) under uncultured bacterium. RNAcentral describes it as "partial 16S ribosomal RNA". It matches the Rfam family "Bacterial small subunit ribosomal RNA", at positions 30 to 507 of the family's 1533-position model. The record is from RNAcentral.
AUUGAACGCUGGCGGCAUGCCUUACACAUGCAAGUCGAACGGCAGCACGGGUGCUUGCACCUGGUGGCGAGUGGCGAACGGGUGAGUAAUACAUCGGAACAUGUCCUGUAGUGGGGGAUAGCCCGGCGAAAGCCGGAUUAAUACCGCAUACGAUCUACGGAUGAAAGCGGGGGACCUUCGGGCCUCGCGCUAUAGGGUUGGCCGAUAGCUGAUUAGCUAGUUGGUGGGGUAAAGGCCUACCAAGGCGACGAUCAGUAGCUGGUCUGAGAGGACGACCAGCCACACUGGGACUGAGACACGGCCCAGACUCCUACGGGAGGCAGCAGUGGGGAAUUUUGGACAAUGGGCGAAAGCCUGAUCCAGCAAUGCCGCGUGUGUGAAGAAGGCCUUCGGGUUGUAAAGCACUUUUGUCCGGAAAGAAAUCCUUGGCUCUAAUACAGUCGGGGGAUGACGGCACCGGAAGAAUAAGCACCGGCUAACUACGUG